RNAcentral lists this ribosomal RNA (16 nucleotides) under Aureonarius limonius. RNAcentral describes it as "Cortinarius limonius partial 28S ribosomal RNA". Lineage: Eukaryota; Fungi; Basidiomycota; Agaricomycetes; Agaricales; Cortinariaceae. The record is from RNAcentral. RNAcentral also lists the same sequence under 5 other names.
AUGUGACCUCAAAUCA